AUGAACGCUAGCGGCAGGCUUAAUACAUGCAAGUCGAACGGGAUUCGAGGUAGCAAUACUUUGAUGAGAGUGGCGCACGGGUGCGUAACGCGUAUGCAACCUACCUUUAACAGGGAGAUAGCCCCGAGAAAUCGGGAUUAAUAUUCCAUAACAUUGCGAAAUGGCAUCAUUUUGCAAUUAAAGCUACGGCGGUUAAAGAUGGGCAUGCGUGACAUUAGCUAGUUGGUGAGGUAACGGCCCACCAAGGCUACGAUGUCUAGGGGUCCUGAGAGGGUUAUCCCCCACACUGGUACUGAGACACGGACCAGACUCCUACGGGAGGCAGCAGUAAGGAAUAUUGGUCAAUGGGCGCAAGCCUGAACCAGCCAUGCCGCGUGCAGGAAGACGGCCCUAUGGGUUGUAAACUGCUUUUGUCAGGGAAUAAACCUGUCUACGUGUAGACAGCUGAAGGUACCUGAAGAAUAAGCAUCGGCUAACUCCGUGCCAGCAGCCGCGGUAAUACGGAGGAUGCAAGCGUUAUCCGGAUUCAUUGGGUUUAAAGGGUGCGCAGGCGGAUUAAUAAGUCAGGGGUGAAAUCCCACAGCUCAACUGUGGAACUGCCCUUGAUACUGUUAAUCUAGAGUAUAGUUGAAGUGGGCGGAAUGUGUCAUGUAGCGGUGAAAUGCUUAGAUAUGACACAGAACACCGAUCGCGAAGGCAGCUCGCUAAGCUAUAACUGACGCUCAUGCACGAAAGCGUGGGGAUCAAACAGGAUUAGAUACCCUGGUAGUCCACGCCGUAAACGAUGAUUACUCGAUGUUGGCGAUACACAGUCAGCGUCUAAGGGAAACCAAUAAGUAAUCCACCUGGGGAGUACGAUCGCAAGAUUG
RNAcentral lists this ribosomal RNA (869 nucleotides) under uncultured anaerobic bacterium. RNAcentral describes it as "bacterial SSU rRNA". It matches the Rfam family "Bacterial small subunit ribosomal RNA", at positions 29 to 896 of the family's 1533-position model. The record is from RNAcentral.